UACGUAGGUGGCGAGCGUUGUCCGGAUUUACUGGGCGUAAAGAGCGCGCAGGCGGUCGUUCAAGGCGCGUGUGAAAGCCCCCGGCUCAACUGGGGAGGGUCACGCGAUACUGAUCGACUCGAAGGCAGGAGAGGGAAGUGGAAUUUCCGGUGUAGUGGUGAAAUGCGUAGAUAUCGGGAGGAACACCAGUGGCGAAAGCGACUUCCUGGACCAGUACCGACGUUCAGGCACGAAAGCGUGGGGAGCAAACAGG
RNAcentral lists this ribosomal RNA (253 nucleotides) under uncultured bacterium. RNAcentral's name for it is "partial 16S ribosomal RNA". It matches the Rfam family "Bacterial small subunit ribosomal RNA", at positions 524 to 776 of the family's 1533-position model. The record is from RNAcentral.